GAGCUGGUGUGAGAACCAGACUGGGAGCUGGUGUGAGAACCAGACUGGGAGCUGGUGUGAGAACCAGACUGGGAGCUGGUGUGAGAACCAGACUGGGAGCUGGUGUGAGAACCAGACUGGGAGCUGGUGUGAGAACCAGACUGGGAGCUGGUGUGAGAACCAGACUGGGAGCAGGUGUCGGCUUCAGCCGAGGAGCAGGUGUCGGCUUCAGCCGAGGAGCAGGUGUCGGCUUCAGCCGAGGAGCAGGUGUCGGCUUCAGCCGAGGAGCAGGUGUCGGCUUCAGCCGAGGAGCAGGUGUCGGCUUCAGCCGAGGAGCAGGUGUCAGCCGAGGAGCAGGUGUCAGCCGAGGAGCAGGUGUCGGCGUCAGCCGAGGAGCACUAAGAGACUGGCAGAGAGGAGGACUAGGACUACUAUGAGGAUUUAGACUAACACUAGGACUUGGGCAAGGACUUGUGUGAGGACCAGUACUUACAAUCAAACUAGUGCUUUUAUAAGGACUUGGGCAAGGACCAGGACUUACAGUCGAACCAGGGCUUGGGCAGGAACUAGGACUUGAGGUCAACCUAGGGCAAGGACUGGGACUUACAAUCAUACUGGUGCUCGGGCAAGGACUUGGACAAAGACUAGGACUUACAGUGACACUGGGGCUCGGACAAGAAUUUGGGCAAGGACUAGGGUUACUGUGAGGACUAAGACCACGAGGGGAAUUAGGACACGGACUACGAUCAAGACUACACGAAGGUACGUAACUGGGACCGGGACUUGGACUACCAUUAAGAGAAUGACUUGAGCAAGGACUUGGGCUAGGACUCGGACUACGACUCAGUCUACGAGUUGAUCUACAAUGUUGGCCAGAAGUCGGACCAGGACUGGGACUAGGCUUGAACACCGGUGGUGGAGGAAGAAAAGUAGGUAGCUCAUGUUGCCUUAGUUUGCAUCUAGAAAUAACAUCUGUAUAGAACUUAGUUGUGUCUAUAGAGUCCAAAAAAUCAUAGUCAAUAUUUGAAACAGGUUGAGAAUAAGACUCAACAAUAUAAAAAUCCUCAGAAAAAAUAUCAUCGACAGGGGGUGGUAUUGAGUCACCAGGGGGCGUUGACGAAAUGACGUCACCGUGAUGGACCGGUGGGCCGGAGGUAUGCCCUGGCCUUACAGCCCAGUCGGAAGAGUGGUUGGAAUAUGGAGAAAAAACAAAACUUCCAAACCUCAGGGAAGAGUACUGGGCUGUUGUCUGCGCGCUGCUGUCCGGGGAAAAAGUCUUCGCGGCUUGGCGAAGGGAAGACUUUUGGUGGUCCACUGCGAGGCGGCGUUGUGCUGGCUGUUUUCUGACACGGUGGCGAGGCAUAAUGGAUGCGUGUUGCUACCCCAGGGAUGCAAGAGGACCAGGACAGGCAGGAGUUGCAGCCACCUUGUUAUAAGAGGACUAUUUUUGCCACGCUUUGUGCAUCCUGGCCAUUUCUCCGCCACCCACUGAAAGAUACUACUUUUGUUAAAUUUCCCAUGGUGUGCACUUUUGCCCCAUCAACCUUUGUUACCAUUUUGGACUUAUUAAAUAUUUGUAUUUGUUGUCGCAUACCUUGCUUUCAUUCUCUGCAUCCCGGGGUCCACCCUUGAACUUUGCUUAACAGUUGUAUUUGUAUUGUAGAAUUUUGGUUUGGAAAAGACCCAAAUUCAAUGGUCUAUUCAACCUUACAUUGAAUAAAUGUGGUCAAAAAGUAUGUUGUUUCUUCUGAGACAAGACAAUCGCCACGGCAACCACGAGGAGGAGGAAGAGUGCUGAGAGGACGCCGCCCAUUAUUGGCAGAAAGGUCUUACUUUGAGGGGCACCGAUUCCUUUGAUUUGCUCAUCGCACAAACUUCUUUUGGUUUCAGGCAACCACUGAGAUAUGCGAGUCCCGUUUGAGGUGCAGUUGAUGAAAACUAGACACAAACAGAAUGAGCAUUAGUGUAUUACCCAGCAGGCCCAAGACAUUGAUAUCACGUCCAUUAUACAUACCUGUUCUUUAAAACUGACUUUGAAACAACAUUGCAAAAUAGUUAUAUUUUUUAACUGAGACAACGUUGACGUUCAACACUGGAUCCACGUUGUUGGUUGGGAAAUGACCAAAAUUCAAUGGUCUAAUCAACCUUACAUUGAAUAAACGUCAUAAAGUAUGUUGUUUCAUCGUUGUAUUUUUGUUGUAAAAUUAUGGUUUGGAAAUGACCAGAAUUCAAAGGUCAUAUCAACCUUUCAACAUUGAAGAAACUUUGUCAAAAAGAAUGUUUCAACGUUGUAUUUGUGUUGUAGAACUUUGGUUGGGAAAUUACCAAAAUUCAAUGGUCAAAUUAAAAAAAUCACAACCCAACAUUGAUUAAACGUUGUCAAGAAGCAUGUUGUUUCAACGUCAUAUUUUUGUUGUAGAAUUUUAGUUGGGAAAUGACCAGAAUUCAAUGGUCAAAUCAUCAUCAUAAACCAACAAUGAUUAUAAGUCGUCAAAAAGCAUGUUUUUUCAUCGUUAUGUUUGAGUUGCCCAACGUCAGGACCUAAUUGAAUGGUCAAAUCAAAGUCACAACCCAACAUUGAUUAAAUGUUGUCAAGAAGAACGUUGUUUUAAUGACCAAAAUUAAAUGGUCAAAUCAACCUUUCAACCUGACAUCGAACAAACUUUGUCAAAAAGUAUGUUGUUUCAACAUUGUGUUUAUGUUGUAGAAUUUUGGUCGGGAAAUGACCAAAAUUCAAUGGUCAAAUCAAAGUCACAAGCCAACAUUGAUUAAACGUUGUCAAAAAGAA
Molecule: long non-coding RNA, 2767 nt
Organism: Nerophis ophidion (straightnose pipefish)
Lineage: Eukaryota; Metazoa; Chordata; Actinopteri; Syngnathiformes; Syngnathidae
Exons: 2
Source: RefSeq, a predicted model, not a curated record